CAGCAGCCGCGGUAAUACGUAGGGGGCAAGCGUUAUCCGGAUUCAUUGGGCGUAAAGCGCUCGUAGGCGGUCUGUUAGGUCGGGAGUUAAAUCCGGGGGCUCAACCCCCGUUCGCUCCCGAUACCGGCAGACUUGAGUUUGGUAGGGGAAGGUGGAAUUCCUAGUGUAGCGGUGGAAUGCGCAGAUAUUAGGAAGAACACCAGUGGCGAAGGCGGCCUUCUGGGCCAUAACUGACGCUGAGGAGCGAAAGCUAGGGGAGCAAACAGGAUUAGAUACCCUGGUAGUCCUAGCCGUAAACGAUGGACACUAGGUGUGGGGGAAUAUUUCUUCCGUGCCGCAGCUAACGCAUUAAGUGUCCCGCCUGGGGAGUACGGCCGCAAGGCUAAAACUCAAAGGAAUUGACGGGGGCCAGCACAAGCAGCGGAGCAUGUGGUUUAAUUCGAAGCAACGCGAAGAACCUUACCAGGGCUUGACAUUUAGGUGAAGCGGCGGAAACGUCGUGGCCGAAAGGAGCCUAAACAGGUGGUGCAUGGCUGUCGUCAGCUCGUGUCGUGAGAUGUUAGGUUAAGUCCUGCAACGAGCGCAACCCUCGUCGUAUGUUGCCAGCGGUUAGGCCGGGCACCCAUACGAGACCGCCGGCGUCAAGCCGGAGGAAGGUGGGGACGACGUCAAGUCAUCAUGCCCCUUAUGUCCUGGGCUACACACGUGCUACAAUGGCCGGCACAAUGGGCUGCCAACCCGCGAGGGUGAGCGAAUCCCUAAAGCCGGUCCCAGUUCGGAUUGGAGGCUGCAACCCGCCUCCAUGAAGUCGGAGUUGCUAGUAAUCGCGGAUCAGCACGCCGCGGUGAAUGCGUUCCCGGGCCUUGUACACACCGCCCGUCACACCACCCGAGUCGAUUGCACCCGAAGUCGUCGGCCUAACCUUUUAGGAGGGAGACGCCGAAGGUGUGGUUGGUAAGGGGGGUGAAGUCGUAACAAGGUAGCCGU
Molecule: ribosomal RNA, 987 nt
Filed under: uncultured Atopobium sp.
Lineage: Bacteria; Bacillati; Actinomycetota; Coriobacteriia; Coriobacteriales; Atopobiaceae
Description: bacterial SSU rRNA
Rfam family: Bacterial small subunit ribosomal RNA
Source: RNAcentral